AUUGAACGCUGGCGGCAUGCUUUACACAUGCAAGUCGAACGGCAGCACGGGCUUCGGCCUGGUGGCGAGUGGCGAACGGGUGAGUAAUAUAUCGGAACGUACCCAGAAGUGGGGGAUAACGUAGCGAAAGUUACGCUAAUACCGCAUACGAUCUAUGGAUGAAAGCAGGGGACCGCAAGGCCUUGUGCUCCUGGAGCGGCCGAUAUCUGGUUAGCUAGUUGGUGAGGUAAAGGCUCACCAAGGCGACGAUCAGUAGCUGGUCUGAGAGGACGACCAGCCACACUGGAACUGAGACACGGUCCAGACUCCUACGGGAGGCAGCAGUGGGGAAUUUUGGACAAUGGGCGCAAGCCUGAUCCAGCAAUGCCGCGUGAGUGAAGAAGGCCUUCGGGUUGUAAAGCUCUUUUGUCAGGGAAGAAACGGUAGAGGCUAAUAUCCUUUGCUAAUGACGGUACCUGAAGAAUAAGCACCGGCUAACUACGUG
This 484-nucleotide ribosomal RNA is filed under the name uncultured bacterium. RNAcentral's name for it is "partial 16S ribosomal RNA". It matches the Rfam family "Bacterial small subunit ribosomal RNA", at positions 30 to 507 of the family's 1533-position model. The record is from RNAcentral.